UUUUCUACCUACUUUUGGCGGGAUCUACUCUGAAUUUGUAUGAUAUUUAUCAAGCCCCUCUCUGGCAGGAGCUGGAGGAGGUCAAAGCUAACCCUAUUGAAUGUAGUCUGGGCAAUCAUGGCAAUUUUCCAGAAAGAAUUUCCAGAACAGAGGCAUGCUUCUCUUCUUAGGCUCCUACUAAUCAUUAUUACCGUAUUAACGGCUGACUUGCCAGAAACCUGCUCAGAGAAAUACAAGAUACGUGGUGGAAGACUGUGUUCUCAAAAACGGAUGCCAGCUCAACGAAGAGAAAGCUUCGCUGUGUGUAAGUGGAAGACAGGAACAUGAGGAAAGUACCAGAGGGUGGGGACGAGAAUAUAGGCACACUGAAACAAGGAACUGCAGAAAGUCUAUGUGAGUGGGCAAGAAAUGGGCUCCCACUUCUGCUGUGUGGUAUCUUUCUUCCUAACUGGGUAGUGCAGAAGAGGGUGCCACUCAGGCUCUGGGUUGGGGGGGGGGUCAACAUUGACCCCUCUGAUGUUAUCUGGUGGGCUGGGAAUCAUUUCUGCAAGAGGGUAACCAAACAUGUGCAGACAAUUAUGUCUGAUUACAUAAGCUUCCCACAGAAACUGGGCUUGAAAAUGCCACUCGAAAGAGUCUGUGGUUGUGCGUUAAUUUUUUUCCCUGGGAACCAUGUUUGUUUUAUUUCUGGGCCUUCAAUAUGCGGGGUAAAUGAUUCAAAGGCUGAUCGUGGAGGAUGCGUGCCUUUUGGUAUCCAUUUUAAAUUUUCCGUGGUGCCACCUGCAGGAGACGAAGCCGGUUAGAGCAAGCUGUGUUUUUAGACCGUGGUGUUCGACACGGACCCGUGUGUACGUGCAGAGUGGGGCUCUGGCCGCCAGGAGAAGAAAGAGGGAAGGAGGGAGACAAGAAGAGAUGAGGGCAGGAAUGAGAGGUUCGAGCCAAGAAAUAAAAAUAAACAAUUCCCAAACCCAAGGCAGCAAUGGAAUUUCCAGCUGGACUCUGGAUUGUGUUUCAUUCGGCAGAGGACAUUUUCUGGGCAGCCUUUAUCUGCUCCCCCGGCUGGGUUUGCAUAGCACCCAUUUCUUAUCCAACCAACGUCUAUUUUAAAUCCCAUCAAGUUCAGACCACUUGCCUUUCAGUGAGCCCAGGUGGCAAAGGCGUGGAAGGUCGCGGAAGAGCUGGGAGACCCUGGCCCUGGUCACUCUCGUGUGUCCGUGGGCAGGCAUCGUACCUCUCUUCCAGAAAACAGGGCCAGCACUUCCCACCCUUAAAACCCCAAGGGCUGCUUCAGGGAAAAUGAGAAAAUAAGGAGGAAAGGGCUUGGCAAAGUAGAAAUUGUUCCACACGAAUGCAGUAUGAAAUGUUCUAAGUGAUAACGUUCUAAUCUGACCUUUUUUCUCCUCUUGUGUGAGCAGUUUUUUACAGUAGGUAGGUAGUUCCUAGUGAGGAUUGGUCAGGACACGGCUGUCACUUUUUUCUCUCCUGGUGGGAAGCUACGCUUUCGAAAAGGAUGUAGGGUUCGCGAGUCCUGAACACCCCCUUCCUUAGCGGCGGUGAGCUUAGGUCCCCUGUGCUCUCAGAUGACAGUGGACAACACGUAACAGCUUAGAGGGGCUCUGAGGAACAGAGGGAGGUUAUUCUACUUCCCUGUCAAUCAGACGUACUUAGAUCACAUUCUUCUCUUUCCUUUCUCGCUGCCGUUGCCCUAGUUCUAGAAUAGUUCAUUGGCUGGGCCAUUUCACAUGACCACUUUCUAGUCACUGUUCUUGCCUUCGGUGUCUCCUUUCUCCUGCAUACACCCUCUGAAUUUUGCCAUUCCUUGCCCGGAAAUCACCAGCGCCGGUCUGCUGCCUACCUAAGCGAGUUCAAACCCCAAGUCUGACAUCCGGGGUCUCCCACACUCUGGCCCCAACCUACCUGCCCUUCUACCUCAUCCUCCUGACAUCCAGGUAGAAUUUGGUUGCUGGGCAACAGGGUCAGUUCAUCGUUGCCUGGUUACCCACAUCCCCCUAUGUUUGCUCAUGGCCACCACCUCCAUAAAUGCCCUUCAUUCCUGUGCCGCCUUCCCCGUGCCUCCCCACCCUCAAAAAUCCCUUUUGCUUCCACAGCCGUCUCCUCGUUGCUGCCUGUGUUUUCUUCCUUAGCCCUUCUCCCCUGCUUCUCUCUGCCUCAUCACACAUACCCUGCCUUUGCGUUAUAGGUACGUGAACAGAUGGACCUACUUGGUCUUCGUGUCUUUCACUCCUGAAUAUUUCCUAAAUAUUUCCUAAAUGCCUGUAUUAGUUGCUCAAAACAUGUUUGCUGAUGGAUGAAUCAGGUAAGAGAAGACAAGUCGCCACUGGAUUUACAAAGUGCACUCAGUGGCCAGUAUCCACAUCUUACAUAGCAGUAAAGUAUCUAGUAGUGAUUUUUCUUUUAAAUGCUUUACUAACCCACAAAUAUCCCGUGUUUUUAAUUCAGAAAGUUUCUCCAGUCUGCCCUAUAAUAAAAAGUUUCCGAACUUGUGGCCAGUGCGGAUUCUCCGAGAACAUGAUUCGCAUUAAAUCCAUGAAGCUGCAUAGUGAUGAUGUUGUCAAGAGGAUGAUCCCUUUGAAUUCUGCAGAACUUGUCCUGUCCUCAAAGAAACCCUAUGCCAAAACCUGUUUGUGGGAUACCAUCCAUAGUAGAAAUAGAAAUCAUUUCUGGUGGCCUUUUCUCUUUGUCAUCUCUACCAGAUGGGGCAUUGAAACCUCCAUGGACAGACGUGUUGGGGGUAGAAGCAACUUGAAAUUGGGAAAUUUAGAUCUUUCCUGUGGCUCUGCUUUUGAUAAGUGGCAUCGCCUCUGCAUGUUUGCCUCGUCUAUAAAGUUUACCAGAUAAGCAAGCUCUAAACUCCCCUUCUAAAUUCCAUAGUUCUAGAGUCCUUCCAGUAUGAUCUUUGGUUCCUCCUGUCAGCUCCAGGGAUGCCCAACUCCACUGUAGCCUAGCCUCCCUGGACACCUCUUUGGGUAGAGUUAGCCCCUGCCGUUCCUUCUAGCCUCCCCCUCUAACCCCUAAAAUUGUAUCUUGAGGUCCUAAAUGGGAAGGAGGAAGAGCUUUCAUUACAUAAACCUUUCCCUGUGAAUUCUCAGAGAUCCGUGGAAGCAGAAAGCAUUAUUCUUCCCGGGGCGGAACACUUUAUUUUUAAUUAUUUUCAAAUGUGAGUUAAGGGAGUGAGUUCACUCCAGCCAAUUUUAAAUGUAAAUAGAAACCCCUGGAAGAAAAAGAGCAACCCCUAUAUGAUGUUUCUUAUUCAAGAGUUUUAGUGAAGGUGGAAAUAAAGUGUUAGUGUUCUCUCUGUAAAGGCAGGGCGCCAUCAAUGUCCGUUUAUGACAGAAACAUCCCGUGAGUUUUGCUUUGUGAUAAUUACAGGAAUGGAAAAACAGAGAUGAAACUUUUCUCUUUGGAAGCCAUAGCAUAUGUAUUUUUGUUUGGGUUUUGCUUUUCUCCCAUGUUCGGCAAAGGGAGAAAAAGGACACUUAAUGAGGAAAUAAAGAAAAUAUAAAUCUUGAGGAUGAAAAUAGCAUCCUAUUGAACACAUUGCAGGCGCUUAGAUAUCAGAAGGGUUACUUGGUAAUACUUGGCUACGUGCCAUCAUUUUAAUUUUUUCUUAACUACUUCGGAGAGACCUCCCUCCACUUAAAGUAUAUAUUAAUAAGACGUUGCCACAUGUGAAAUUGUAGGACUGGGAAGUUAGGGCGAUAAUUAAAAUUCAUAUUCAAAUCUUUAAAAACUCAUUUUAAUUAUAUGAAGUUUUAAUUCUUCUAUUUUGCCAAGUGGAAUUUGAAAUGUGAAGGUACAAAGACAUAUCCAGAUAUGCCCCCUGCUUACGUGCCUUCGGGUACCUUCUGAUGCUGCGGUAGGGGACCAGUGAACAGGCCCAGGCUGGCAGGGUGAAGGGAGUGAUGAGAAUCAACAGGUCUGAACAUGGUGAACCAAUCUUCAGAGGGUUUGAAGGCAGCAGGAAUGGGGUAGAUGGACUCCUGCCUUCCAGAAGCUUCCAGCCUGGCUUUCUUUUAUGGCAGAGUCAAAAGGAAACAGAGGAAGCCCCUUUAGUUUCUUAUCUGAUGAGGCCUUUAAAUCUUAAUACCAUAUCAGCUCAGCAUUUGAGAAGGGAAAAGCAUUUUAUUUGAGCCCACAAUAGUUGCAGAAGCAAAAACAAAUCUCUUAAUAUUGUAAUUUCCUAGGCAUCCAUUGUUUUUCCUCCGUGGCCAGGGGAAAGCCCUUAAAGGUACAGAAAACGAAUGAGUCCAAAUUGUCCAGUGGCAUCCUUACACACUCAUGCACUCAUGUGUUCAUGUAUUCAUCUGUGCAUCUGU
Acinonyx jubatus (cheetah) is the source of this 4337-nucleotide long non-coding RNA. RefSeq lists it as uncharacterized. The transcript has 2 exons. The record is from RefSeq and is a predicted model, not a curated record. Lineage: Eukaryota; Metazoa; Chordata; Mammalia; Carnivora; Felidae.